ACACUAACAAUCCUUCGGGUGCGUUAAUGGGCGUCGAGCGGCGGACGGGUGAGUAAUGCCUAGGAAAUUGCCUUGAUGUGGGGGAUAACCAUUGGAAACGAUGGCUAAUACCGCAUAAUGCCUACGGGCCAAAGAGGGGGACCUUCGGGCCUCUCGCGUCAAGAUAUGCCUAGGUGGGAUUAGCUAGUUGGUGAGGUAAUGGCUCACCAAGGCGACGAUCCCUAGCUGGUCUGAGAGGAUGAUCAGCCACACUGGAACUGAGACACGGUCCAGACUCCUACGGGAGGCAGCAGUGGGGAAUAUUGCACAAUGGGCGAAAGCCUGAUGCAGCCAUGCCGCGUGUAUGAAGAAGGCCUUCGGGUUGUAAAGUACUUUCAGUUGUGAGGAAGGGGGUAGCGUUAAUAGCGCUAUCUCUUGACGUUAGCAACAGAAGAAGCACCGGCUAACUCCGUGCCAGCAGCCGCGGUAAUACGGAGGGUGCGAGCGUUAAUCGGAAUUACUGGGCGUAAAGCGCAUGCAGGUGG
RNAcentral lists this ribosomal RNA (524 nucleotides) under bacterium 2cm. RNAcentral describes it as "bacterial SSU rRNA". It matches the Rfam family "Bacterial small subunit ribosomal RNA", at positions 51 to 578 of the family's 1533-position model. The record is from RNAcentral.